UCUGGUCAGAACGAACGCUGGUAGCGUGGAUUAGGCAUGCAAGUCGAACGGGAUCCGGAAGGCAGCAAUGUCGGCCGGUGAGAGUGGCGGAAGGGCGAGGAACACGUGGGCAACCUGUCCAGGAGGUGGGGAAAACCUCGGGAAACUGAGGCUAAUACCGAAUGCGGCGCGGAAGGGCAUCCUUCCAGCGCCAAAGGGGGCGAAAGCUCCCCCUCCACGAGGGGCCCGCGCACCAUCGGCUAGUUGGCGGGUAACGGCCCACCAAGGCUCACGGUUAGCUGGUCUGAGAGGAUGGCCAGCCGCACUGGGACUGAGAUACUGCCCAGACUCCUACGGGAGGCUGCAGUCGAGGAUCAUUCGCAAUGGGCGAAAGCCUGACGAUGCGACGCUGCGUGGAGGAUGAAGGCCUUCGGGUUGUAAACUCCUGUCAUGAGGGAAAAGGAGACCCUACCCAAUACGUAGGGGAUUUGAUGGUACCUCAAGAGGAAGGGACGGCUAACUCUGUGCCAGCCGCAGC
Molecule: ribosomal RNA, 517 nt
Filed under: uncultured bacterium
Lineage: Bacteria
Description: bacterial SSU rRNA
Rfam family: Bacterial small subunit ribosomal RNA
Source: RNAcentral